Long non-coding RNA from Acipenser ruthenus (sterlet), 1982 nucleotides. RefSeq lists it as uncharacterized. Lineage: Eukaryota; Metazoa; Chordata; Actinopteri; Acipenseriformes; Acipenseridae. The transcript is spliced from 3 exons. The record is from RefSeq and is a predicted model, not a curated record.
GACCUUUAUUUCCAGUGUAAAGGCCGGGGCUGUGUGAUCACAGCCCAGCUCUGUCAGGCCAUGGUGAAGUGGACAGUGCUGGUGUAGCUGGACUGCACGGCACCACUUCCCCUCGUUGGCACUGAUGUGAGAUCACAGGGACCUGAGACUCCGAUUGGGCAGCAGGCAGGAAUUAUUCUGCCAGCUGGCGGCCGUUGCCAGGAGCUGCAGCCUUUUUCUUGAACCAACAGCACUCACUCGUAGAACCACCAUUCCUCACUCCAGCAGACUAGCACAGCAAGAAAAUUAGCAGGAGCACAAAAAAAGAAAUCCACGUAUCUGUUUUUUUUUUUAUUAUUUAAAGAGUCAUUUCAGAGGCGGGGGGUGUGCAGGAAGCGAGAAGCGGGAGAGUCUCUGUGACGGCUGCACUGUUAACAAGGAUGUUUAUGUGCAUUUAAUUAAAAAAAAAAAAAGAAAUCCUGAAACAAAACAAAACCGGCAGAUGCAAAGCUGCCAAAGACGUGUUAAAUGAUUACCCAGGACGGGAAAAGUCAGGCACGCAGUACCUGGGACGGGUGCCAAGUGCCGACAAAAGACACCAGUGCAUGCUCAGAAGCAACGCUCUCAUUUCUGUUUUAAAGCAGCGAUCACUUAGAGUAGCUCAGCUUUAAUAUCUGCAGCACAGCUCCGGCGAACACGGGGCACAGAAACGUGUUGUGGAGUCCGCGCCCAAGCGCCGCCAUGACCCCCGUCAGCUUCAGCUAGCAGAGAUCCCCACCCGAGCGCUUCAAAAGCUGCACAGGAAUGGGCCUUUGCUGGGCCGGGUUGGCUCCAGUUAUGAUGCUGUCCUUGGGGCUGAGGUAGUAGAUUGAAUAGUUGUGGAGUAUGCGUUGUCCCUCUGAGAUAACUAUACAAUCUACUGUCUUUCCUAAGGAGACAGUCGAAUCGCCUGCCAACGAAGAAGGACUUCACAGCUCAGCGGCAUUUCGGUCAUUGCAGUCUUGUCUUAUUGCUUUGUAACUGAACUUGUAUGUAUUGUUAUGUUUGGACUGGGGGGGGGGGGGGGGGGGUUGUAAUGAUGUGAACAGCAGGGGCUGGCGUGAACCCCAUUAUUCUCAGAACGGGGGUCUUUAAAUCCUCUCCGGUACAGAAGGAUGAACAUGUAGUUCCAGGAUCAUUAAAAACAAUGAACUGUAAAAUCAUCUAUAUACCAGUAUUACUAUGUGUGGAAGCCUCGUCUGCAGCGAUCAUAGUGACUAGCUUAUUAAAGUGCUCCUCCUUUAUACCGUGGAGCCGUGUGUAAUGCAGCAUGGGUGAAGCUCCCCUUUGCCUCAAUGCCAGUACAAAAAAUAAACAAAUCAUUAACAAACAGCGAAGCUGUUAAUAGUUACUAAACCAAACCAGCUGACAAGGCAGAUACAAAGAGCUAGGUGUAUUUGAGCAUCACGUGGGAGUCCAGAGGGAAAGAACAGAAAUGCUGUUUAUAUUGUGGGCAGUCUGAGGGCACAAGGGCAGCUCCACUGGGCUGAGACUCGCCUCCCUGGUAACACUUUAUGCUGUGGCAUGUUGACGGUUCCGCUAGUUCUUCCAAUGCAUUGCUAUUACAAAGGGGCAGUCCUUGACUCCACCUGGAUGACAUCACAGUGGAUGAGCACCUGAAGGACACAUACCAGGCAGUGUCCAGGACUGAAGGAAGGUGUGGAGGCUGCAGUGUUCCCGCGGGGUGAGGUAGUAGGUUGUAUAGUUUGGUGGGAGGGAUAGUAUCCCAUUCAGGUGAUAACUAUACAGACUAUUGCCUUCCUUGAGGAGCUCACACACACAGAGAGCAGCAGCAGCAGCAGCAGCAGCAAGGGAACGAGCAGGAAGAAGGCCGUCUCCAACAGAGGACAACUCUCAUUGCUAGAAUGUUACUACAAUUAUUAUUAUGAUUAUUAUUAUUAAUAUUAUUGUAUUUGCAACGUGCAUUUUCAAUGCAAGGCAGAAUAAAUAAAUAUACAAACGUG